RNAcentral lists this long non-coding RNA (570 nucleotides) under Monodelphis domestica (gray short-tailed opossum). RNAcentral describes it as "lncRNA (ENSMODG00000031243.2)". The record is from RNAcentral. Lineage: Eukaryota; Metazoa; Chordata; Mammalia; Didelphimorphia; Didelphidae.
AAUUACUCAAAAGAUUAGUCUUCUUAGGUGUAAACUAAGAAUUGUCUGUCCUUUGAAAAACGUCUACUGUGAUUGGUAGAUGAGAGAACUUAGGGGAGGUGACAUAGGAGAAAAUUCCCUAUAUAAGGACAGAACCAGUCUCUUGAUGAGAGGCAGAAGAAUCCCUCUAAGGAGAAGGAUGGCUGGCUGAACUGGUGUCUAUAUUCUUGCUUGGACAGAUCUUGUGAAAAACUCUGGCAUUCUUGGCAGAUGAACAAUGAUCAAGAAAACCAAAGACAGACUACAAUAAGUUACUUCUUCAACCCACCAUAGAAGUACAGAAAAAUCAGCCAAGGUCUCCCACCAGCAAAGCCCAUGCCAGUAGCAGUACCUCUCAACAGUGCCCGAAAUGGGCCACCCUCUUUCCAACUCCAUCUUCCUGGAACAGGAGAAGAUGAAGAAGUAAAGGAAGCAAGAAACCAGCUAAAAGCAUUCCCAGAAAAACUUCAGCUUGGAAAAUGUAGCCCAAAGAUGGGAUCAGGAGACAUUCUUCAAGCAAAAGCUUCCAAACCUCUGAGUCUGACCACCUGA